AUAUUUACCUGGCAGGGGAGAUAUGAUCACGAAGGUGGUUUUCCCAGGGCAAGGUGUAUUCGUUGCACUCCAGAUGUGCUGACCGCUAUGAUUUCCCCAAAUGUGGGAAACCUGACUGCAUAAUUGUGGUAGUGGGUGACUCCAUUCAUGCUUUCCCCUG
This is a small nuclear RNA of Sapajus apella (tufted capuchin), 160 nucleotides long. RefSeq annotates it as U1 spliceosomal RNA. NCBI's taxonomy places the organism in Eukaryota, Metazoa, Chordata, Mammalia, Primates, Cebidae. The record is from RefSeq and is a predicted model, not a curated record. The transcript has a single exon.